CACGAAGUUGGAAUUGCUAGUAAUCGCGAAUCAGAAUGUCGCGGUGAAUGCGUUCCCGGGUCUUGUACACACCGCCCGUCACACCAUGGAAGUUGGGGGUGCCCAAAGCCGGCAAGCAAAUAUGCUGUCUAAGGCAAAACCAAUGACUGGGGUGAAGUCGUAACAAGGUAUC
This 172-nucleotide ribosomal RNA is filed under the name uncultured bacterium. RNAcentral describes it as "partial 16S ribosomal RNA". It matches the Rfam family "Bacterial small subunit ribosomal RNA", at positions 1319 to 1500 of the family's 1533-position model. The record is from RNAcentral.